Molecule: ribosomal RNA, 998 nt
Filed under: uncultured bacterium
Lineage: Bacteria
Description: bacterial SSU rRNA
Rfam family: Bacterial small subunit ribosomal RNA
Source: RNAcentral
GGAUGAACGCUGGCGGCGUGCUUAAUACAUGCAAGUCGAACGGACGUAGCAAUACGUUAGUGGCGACCGGGUGCGUAACACGUAGUUGACCUGCCCCUCAGCGGGGGACAACAUGCCGAAAGGCGUGCUAAUACCGCAUGAACUAGGGGUGCUUAGAAAGCCCUUAGAAAACUUCCGGGGCUGAGGGAGGGGACUGCGGCUCAUCAGGUAGUUGGUGGGGUAACGGCUCACCAAGCCAACGACGAGUAGGGGACCUGAGAGGGUGACCCCCCACACUGGAACUGACACACGGUCCAGACUCCUACGGGAGGCAGCAGUAAGGAAUAUUGGGCAAUGGGCGCAAGCCUGACCCAGCAACGCCGCGUGGAGGAUGAAGGCUUUCGGGUCGUAAACUCCUUUUGAGGGGGACGAGGAAGGACGGUACCCCUUGAAUAAGUGACGGCUAACUACGUGCCAGCAGCCGCGGUAAUACGUAGGUCACAAGCGUUAUCCGGAUUUACUGGGCGUAAAGCGUGUGCAGGCUGUUAGGUAAGUGGUGUAUGAAAGCGCUCGGCUUAACCGGGCGAGGUUAUGCCAGACUGCCUAGCUAGAGGCAGCAAGAGGGACAUGGAAUUCCGGGUGUAGUGGUGAAAUGCGUAGAUAUCCGGAGGAACUCCAGAGGCGAAGGCGAUGUCCUGGUGCUGACCUGACGCUCAGACACGAAAGCAUGGGGAGUGAACGGGAUUAGAAACCCCGGUAAUCCAUGCCGUAAACGAUGCAGACUAGCGUCGGCGGUCUCAACCCCGUCGGUGUCGCAGCUAACGCGUUAAGUCUGCCGCCUGGGGACUACGUCGCAAGACUAAAACUCAAGGAAUUGACGGGGGCCCGCACAAGCAGCGGAGCGUGUGGUUUAAUUCGAGGCUACACGAGACCUUACCCGGGUUUGACAUGCAGAUGCAGCGGCGUGAAGCGUCGCGUCUUCGAGGGUCUGCACAGUGCUGCAUGGCUGUCGUCAGCUC